RNAcentral lists this ribosomal RNA (483 nucleotides) under uncultured bacterium. RNAcentral's name for it is "partial 16S ribosomal RNA". It matches the Rfam family "Bacterial small subunit ribosomal RNA", at positions 30 to 507 of the family's 1533-position model. The record is from RNAcentral.
UUGAACGCUGGCGGCAGGCCUAACACAUGCAAGUCGAGCGGAAGAAGGGAGCUUGCUCCUGGAUUGAGCGGCGGACGGGUGAGUAAUGCCUAGGAAUCUUCCUGGUAGUGGGGGAUAACGUCCGGAAACGGGCGCUAAUAACGCAUACGUCCCGAGGGAGAAAGUGGGGGAUCGUCGGACUUCACGCUAUCAGAUGAGCCUAGGUCGGAUUAGCUAGUUGGUGGGGUAAAGGCCUACCAAGGCGACGAACCGUAACUGGUCUGAGAGGAUGAUCAGUCACACUGGAACUUGGACACGCUCCUUGCUCCUGCGAGACGCCGCAGUCGCGAACAUUAGACAAUUGUCGGAAACCUUAUACAGCCGUGGCGCGUGUGAGACGAAGAUCUUCCGAUUGUAAAGCACUCUAAGGUGGGAGAAACGGCAUUAACUUGAUACGUUGCUGUUUUUACGUGACCAACAAAAAAAUCCCCCGCCUACUUUCUG